GACGAACGCUGGCGGCGUGCCUAAUACAUGCAAGUAGAACGCUGAAGGAGGAGCUUGCUUCUCCGGAUGAGUUGCGAACGGGUGAGUAACGCGUAGGUAACCUGCCUGGUAGCGGGGGAUAACUAUUGGAAACGAUAGCUAAUACCGCAUAACAGUAGAUAUCGCAUGAUAUCUGCUUGAAAGGUGCAAUUGCAUCACUACCAGAUGGACCUGCGUUGUAUUAGCUAGUUGGUGAGGUAACGGCUCACCAAGGCGACGAUACAUAGCCGACCUGAGAGGGUGAGCGGCCACACUGGGACUGAGACACGGCCCAGACUCCUACGGGAGGCAGCAGUAGGGAAUCUUCGGCAAUGGACGGAAGGCUGACCGAGCAACGCCGCGUGAGUGAAGAAGGUUUUCGGAUCGUAAAGCUCUGUUGUAAGAGAAGAACGAGUGUGAGAGUGGAAAGUUCACACUGUGACGGUAUCUUACCAGAAAGGGACGGCUAACUACGUG
RNAcentral lists this ribosomal RNA (495 nucleotides) under uncultured bacterium. Its description in RNAcentral is "partial 16S ribosomal RNA". It matches the Rfam family "Bacterial small subunit ribosomal RNA", at positions 28 to 507 of the family's 1533-position model. The record is from RNAcentral.